This is a long non-coding RNA of Brassica napus (rape), 1100 nucleotides long. RefSeq lists it as uncharacterized. The transcript is spliced from 4 exons. Lineage: Eukaryota; Viridiplantae; Streptophyta; Magnoliopsida; Brassicales; Brassicaceae. The record is from RefSeq and is a predicted model, not a curated record.
GUACGGUUUCCUCAUUUAAUUGUUACGGGCUUCGCUAUUGUUUUGUGUUAUGUUCAUGGGCUGGCCCAUGACACUUGCAUCUUCUUCUCAGUCUGAAAUUUAGGGUUCACCAGCUUUAGGAAUCUUCCAUUCUGUAUGUUAACAAUUGCAGUUCUGAGAUUUUCGUAUACAUUUUGUCAAUAAUCUCAAAGUCCAUUUAUGUUCUGAUCGUUUUGUCUUACCUCCGAACCGUUACAAGUUGCAGAGAUUGGCAUAAUUAACACAAACUUAACUCUUCCUCGCCACUAGGACCACGAUCAAGAAUUCAAUGAAUCUUAUUCAGUUUCCAGUCUGUGAUUCUCUCCUAUAAAAAGAUGGAGGUGGAAGAUCUUAGCUGCCACUGGAAAAAAGCUAUGGCAAAGAUUAUUUUUCAGGAGAUGGAGUUGAGAUGAGGAUGAGAGUUCAGGCAGCGCUGAAACUGGAAAAAGCUAUUCCCUUUAGUCACGAGAUGGAAAUCAUUCAACUCAAGUUGCAUGAUCAAGCUAGAUACGACAUAUUGUUACAGUCACACGGCAGAUUAUUAAAUAUCCUGUCAAGGGAACUUUUGAUCCUUUAGUUGUUGGAUCAUACUACACGAAAUUGCGGCUGUGAUCUCCCCCAAGAGCCUUUUACGUACAGAUUGACACAUGAGGUGAUGUUUUGUGGGUUAGUUGUGCUUUUUGCAAUGGCUGCCCUCAAACCAGUAAACUCCUCAAGGAGCUCAGUAACAACGACACCAAUCUCAUGUUCUGACCAAAGAUGCAGCUGGGGUGUUCAGUCCUCUAAUUCAGGCUGUUCUACUCAGAACAACAUUUGCGCUUACACGUUUCAGUAUGGGGAUGGAAGUUGCACCUCAGGGUUCUUCGUCUCUGAUGUCUUACAGUUCGUUUGAGUACUAUGACUCUUGGCCAGACAUGUUGUCUCAUUUUUUAUUUAGUGCUCUGCUUUUCAGUGUUUUCUUCUUGCAUCGCUUGAACAGUGAUGAGCCCAAGGCCGAUGUCACCUUUUAGAAUAACAUGUAAGACCCAUGAAUACACUAGAAUUGAUUAAAAAAAUUUAAUGCAUGGAGAUAGUUCAUUUUA